RNAcentral lists this long non-coding RNA (531 nucleotides) under Lathyrus oleraceus (garden pea). RNAcentral describes it as "Pisum sativum (pea) long non-coding RNA (PSAT_LNC005410)". The record is from RNAcentral. Lineage: Eukaryota; Viridiplantae; Streptophyta; Magnoliopsida; Fabales; Fabaceae.
AAUAAAUUAUUGUGUUGUGUUUUUUCCUUUAUUACAUGGAUUAAAAAAAACUUGCUAAUCAUUAAAACUCAUUAUAGUUUUUAAUAACUUUUCAUCCUUUUGCAAUAGAAAAUAGAUUUUUUUAUAAAAAGAUUUGAGUAGUGAAAAAGUUUUCUUUACCAAUACUAUACAAUUGGUGUAAUAGUUGAUGUUCAAGCUAAAACUAGCAAGAUAUCAGUGCUCCAUGAAUAUAUUUGAUAUAAUAUAAAAUUUAUUUAGAUAGGUAUGUAAAUUGAAGUAAGUUAUUUAAUUGUAAAAUAAAUAAUGAUUAUAUAAAUUCAAUUAUAUUAAAUAGAUAUUGUGUCGAUAAUGAUUAUGUGAGAUGCAAAAUUACUUGUUUAUAUGAUUAUUGAGUAUUAUUCAUUUUGAUAUGGUAUAAAACGCAUAUAGAUACACAUGUAAAUUUGAAAUAAGUUACUUAAUUAUAAAAAGAAGAAUAAUUCUAUAAAAUCAAUUAAUGUCGAUUGAAAAUAAAAUAUGUAUUGUCUUGAU